GAAGUAGGAGAGACAGUCGCGCUUUAAACGUCGUGUCUUAAAGUGAGGAAAGUCCGAGCUCCGAAAAAUCAGGGCGCCCGGUAACACCGGGGCGGAGUGAUCCGACGGAAAGUGCCACAGAAACCAUACCGCCGACCGGCCGCGGGUCCGCCUGCGGCCCCCGGUAAGGGUGAAAUCGCGGUGUAAGAGACCACGGCCGCGUCCGGUAACGGACGCGGCGGGCAAACCCCGCCCGGAGCAAGGCCAAAUAGGGGAACAGGGUUGAUUUGCCCGCUUAUGUUCCCGGGUGGGCCGCGCGGAGCGGCCGGGUAACCGGACCGCCAAGAUAAAUGACUGUCCCGCCGCUGCGGCGGUCACGACAGAACUCGGCUUAUUUCCUGCUUCCCAA
RNAcentral lists this RNase P RNA (388 nucleotides) under Candidatus Zixiibacteriota bacterium. Its description in RNAcentral is "RNase P RNA component class A". It matches the Rfam family "Bacterial RNase P class A". Rfam says of the family: Ribonuclease P (RNase P) is a ubiquitous endoribonuclease, found in archaea, bacteria and eukarya as well as chloroplasts and mitochondria. Its best characterised activity is the generation of mature 5'-ends of tRNAs by cleaving the 5'-leader elements of precursor-tRNAs. Lineage: Bacteria; Pseudomonadati; Candidatus Zixiibacteriota. The record is from RNAcentral.